AGGAAUGAGCAGUUAUGUUUUAGUUGUUUACUGUAGUGCUCUUGCUACCGUCUUUCUCCUUCCUUGUUUCAUCUUACAAAAGAAGAUUUCACUUACUUUUUCACUCCUUGGAGGAACAUUCCUUCCUGGCCUAUUUGGGAGUGCAGGUUUGUUACCGAUAUAUAAUGGCAUCAACUACAGCUCACCAACACUUGCUUCAGCAAUGGGAAAUCUUAUACCGAUCUUUACAUUCAUACUGGCGAUCACUUUCAGGUAGGAAGGUACAGUCCUAUUUACUGUAUCGAUGUUCGUUUGGACUUACAGUAUGUAUCACUCUGCAAUUAAGCUUGUGAUAUGUUUCUAAAUUAUUAG
Molecule: long non-coding RNA, 351 nt
Organism: Rosa rugosa (rugosa rose)
Lineage: Eukaryota; Viridiplantae; Streptophyta; Magnoliopsida; Rosales; Rosaceae
Exons: 3
Source: RefSeq, a predicted model, not a curated record